UUUCAGCAUCGUUUUUGUAGUUCUCCUUGUAGAAAUCUUUCACCUCAUUGGUUAAAUAUACUCCUAGGUAUUUUAUUUUAUUUUUGGCAGCUGUUGUAAAAGGGAAAAUUCUGUACCUGUUAAUCCAUCUUGAUUGGAAGUGUAAGCCCAUGUCAUUAAAAUUUUAGGUUAAGAAAAAAAAUAUCUAUUUUUGUUCUUACUCUAAUGUGAACUGAAUGCCUGAGAGAUGUUGUGGGCAGUUAAUUAUAAAGUAGUGUAAUUAUGUUAAUUCUGAAGUCAUUAGAGAAGAUGAGAAAAUAGAAUACAAUGUUUAUUUUAUCCCUGUAACUAUAGCUUGAUAAGAUUGAAUCUUAGAAUUAGGGUCAAAAGCUGAGCUAUAUCAUGUAGCAUUUUAUUUUCUGCCUAGGGUUAUUUAAGAAAAAGCAUCCUAAAAAUAUUUAAGACCCUUUUAAAGGAGAGCAGAUUCAAAUAAACUCCUUUGAGAGGAUUAUCUCUCCUUGCAGAUACAGAGUAUGUAACUGGUAGGCUGUACCGCACAGACUGAUCUACAGCUUGUCUAGCAAAAGUGGUUCUAUCUUGUGAUGAUUUGCCUGGCAAAACCAAACAUAAUUCAUGGAUAAUAAUGUCACCUAUUCCUGUGAUAAUUGAAAUAGUUAAGGUUAUAUUUGUUUAACAUUGGGACAUAAUUAUCUUCUAAUAAAGCUAAAGUUUCUGUUAAGAAUGCUAUUUUCUUUGAAAAGCGAGUUACUUCUGUAGCUAAUACCUAUGUUGAGAGUGUGAUAUGAUGAUAUUCAUAGACUCAAUGUCCAACCAAGAUUGACAUCUCCUGCUACUGAUAUUUUCUGUUUAGGAUAUAUGAUAAAUAUUUUAUUUUUCUUUUAAGAAAAAAGAAGUUUUAAAGAAAACUUCACCGAGUUCAGGUGAAGUAUUGUCUUUUAUUUAUGUGCUACCAGACGCCAAAGUUAACUGAUUUAAAAGUUGAUUUACUUUUUAUUAAGUUCUCCAGCACGGCACAUUAGUUGUAUGUGGAUUUUUUUUUUUUAGGGUGUCUUUGUUUUUUCCAACAUAAUGUUUCUGCAUUCAUCUAUUCUUAAAUUGAAAACCACAUAAUUUACUUCUUAUAAAGUCUUAAAUGUGAAACCAAGAAAUUUAAUUGAGCAGUAAAAACACUCUCUGAAUGUAGACCAUGAUCUCAGUUUCUUCCAUUUUUCCCCCUAGUAGAAAAUAGACUUCUACAUAAGAAAGCUAAAAUAUGUUAAUAUUUUUGUUAAAGGUUUAAUAUUAUCAGAAUACAACCCAAAAAGUAAAUCAAGUUACAUAAUUACAUUUUUAUUUAUUAAAUAUGGAAUAAUCUACUGAAUUGCAAUAUAUUAAAUAUACUGUUUCCUCUUAAAUGAAACUGCUUGACAGUUAAAAAAAAAUAUGGGCUUGCCAUACUUGCAGGUCUUUUAUGUUUUUAGAUCUUAUUUACUUAUUUAUAUUUUUACAGUGAAAUAGUAAUUUAAAGAGAGGGUGGGAAAAUUCUGUAAUCACUUGAGUUUCCUCUAGUCACAUUUUUUUGCAAACCAGUUCCUCCUUUGAACAUCUUUAUAAUUUAAGUCUUUAAAAAUGCUUUCAUUUCAAACACUAAAUAUUUCUAUAUUGGAAAAGUUUUUACAGUAUAUUAUUUAUUUUUUCCACAUGCCCCACCCCUUUACAAUAUAUUUUAAAUGCUACCUUUGGAUUUCAUUUCUUUCUGUUUUGUAAGAAUCAUAUUAUAAUUCACCCUGGUAAAGUCAGUUUUUCUUUCAGUAUUAUGUGUACAGUGUACAUUGUACUGUACAAUGAUUGUAUUAAUGAAAAACACAUAGUACACAUUCAGUGUACAUUUUCUUUCAGUACUACGUGUUUUUCAUUAAUGUACACUUUUCAUAAUGUAUAUUGAAACUGAACAUGUUGAAGCUCAGCAAGAGUUUUCGAUUAAUUUUGUUUAUAUUCGGAACAAUUAGAAUGUCUAAGUGUAAAGCAGAGUGUGAGCUUUGGAGUUGGGCAUCUGGCUCGGUCACUUACUUGGCAAACUCUUUUUGUCUUGAUGAACUUCCAUAUCUCUGUGGGAAGAGACAAAAUGGGAAAAACAAAAAUCUCAUACAUUUUGGAUUGAUUUAAUUCUCACAAAAUGUCUAUGAAGCAAAUUCUAAUGUUAUCUUCACAGAAAAAAAUGGCCAAGCUGAAUAGCACCAUGUGUAAGCACAUGGGCCGUUCUGCAGAACUGGCAGAGCUUCUGGCAUAGAAGAAAGGGAGAGAGGAAAUGUUCUAGAGUCAAAGAGACUUAAGAGACCUCAUUUGGAUCCUCACUUGAAAAAACAACUGUAAAAAGGUAUUUUGGAGACAAUUGGGGAAAUGUGAAUAAAAUUCAUUAAAUAAUGUCAAGGAGCUAUUAUUUUUGUUUGGUAUGAUAAUGGUAUUAUGGUUAGAUUUUCUUAAUGCCCGUAAUUUAUAGAUAUAUGUAUAAGUGAAAUCACAUAAGGGAUAAGAUUUACCUUUAAAUACAUUAGAAGAAAACCCCACAACUGAUUAAAUGAAGCAAGUGUGACUUAAUAGUUGCAAACUUUUGAUAUUUGUGGAAUCUGGGCAAUGGUUAUGUUUGAAAUGUUUCAGAAUUAAAAAAAGAAAAAGAAAUUAUGCAGUGGACUUAGAUAACUGGGAUACUAGUAACACAGAUACAGUGACUACGCAAACAUAUGUUCCCAGGUGCCUGAAGGAGAACUCUCUUGAAUGUCAGUGUAUGACAAAAAUACUUUUAUCCGAAUACUUUCAUAUUCACUUUGUAAUUAUUGUGAAUGUGUAGAUAUGCUAAUUUGCCCUAAUAUGGUUUAUUAAGUUGGACUUUCCAUCUAAACUGUAUUUUCUCUGAGACUGAGAAGAUCUGUUUGAUAUCUUUACUCUAUCCUUUUCCCAUUGCCCUUGCAUGAUUACUAUUCAAUGAUUGCUGAAUUAAACAACACUUUCGUUUAGGAAGAUGCUGGAUGCUAAACACCUAUCUUACUCAGGCCUCUUAUUGACAUAGCAAAUUCUGUACAUGGUACAUAUACAUGUGUUCCUUUUCUGAUUUAAAUAAAACUGAUGGGCAUUUAUUUCUCCCAUUGUGUAAUAUAGUCUGUGGAAAUAGUAGCCAGUGUAGGAUGCCUCAGCUCUCCCUUGCUCUGCAGGCCAAAACUCAGCUUUUAAAGUGGCAAUUCCCAGUUAUUUUGUUAAAUGGAUGUUAAAGUCAUCCCUGGGUUGGAGUUUAGACUUUUAUUGAAAAGCUAUUCUACUAAUCACCAGUUAAUGGAUGAAUAAAAUUCACACUUUUGGUCUGUUCAUUGUUUUAUUGUCAACACAUUCUUUCUCAAGGGAGAGAAUGAAUUUGGAAGUUGGAAGUCUUCAAAUUAGGGAAGUCUGACAAAUAGGCCAACUCUAACAUUCAUAUUUACAACGGAGAUUUUAAAAGAAGUUUGACAUAAUACACCUCACAAAUGGAUGCCAAUAAGUCAGUUUUAGGCAUUAUUUUUGAAUACAAGGAGACUGUUCAUUUCUUCUUUUUUAAUAUAAACACCCCAUAUGUUUAAAUGUUUGUAAGGCAUGUUGUUAUCUUAAAUAAUAUUUUUAAAAAUCAAAGUGGUACAGACAAAAGUUCCUGGAAAAGUGCUGGUAUCUUUUUUUUUUUUUUUUUUUUUUUUGAUUGCUGAGUAAUCCUGAAAAGAAUUUCUUCCAAAUAAAGGGAUGUAGCUUUGUAUUAAAUUUUAUAAUAAAAGUUCUCAAAUGAUAGAUUCAAAAUUCUAAACAUUUUUAAGGAUUACAAAAAGAUAUUCCUGAAAUCUUGCAUGUUUUAAAACAUAGUACAAAGUAAGCUUUUUAUAUGUAGGCAUUUGUAACUUAAAAAAAUGUUUUAUUUGUGUUUUCAGAAUAAACGAGCUAACAUAAAUUGUACAUAUUUACAGCAAUAAACUACAUUUCAGAAGCUGCACAACAACUUUUGUAAGUACAGCUGAUGAUUUUUGACACCAGCUUUCAAAUGUGUUUUCAUUCUUUCAUUUGCUGCAACAUUUAAACUGUUAUAGUACCAAAGCAAAGGAAACACCAACUUAUUUUAUAGCAAAGCCACAUUAUUAACAAAAGUACUGAGUGAACGCCAGUCCUGUGACUGUUAUGGUAUCUCUGAGUCCUGAAAUCGAGAGCACAAGCAAUUCUUGUGUCCAUACCUGAUUGCAUGUAAAUUGAUUUUGCAUUUUACAAGAACACACAAUUACUCAAGGAAUGAUUAAGAAUAGAAAAAAGGCCAUGAAGGGUAAAAGGGUCAGGAAUCAGAGGCCACUGAACAGUUUCUUAUUCACUGAUUCACUGCUUAGGAGGAAAUUGAUAUUUUUCUUUCACGUGUAUAAAUCACAGUCAACAGGCUUCAUGGAUUUUGUCCACAGAUAGCUUUUGAGAUAACAAAGCCAUAAAUGUCACAUACAUUAAGCACAUAAAAAGGAAUUAAUGAAACAGUUAGAGUAUUUUAGUCAAAUCCCUAACAGAAAGGGUACGGUUAAGCACACACAGUAUGAAAGUUUGCUUUCAAAUGUAAAAAGCAACUACAGAAAAUCACAAGUUUCAUUGGACAGAACAGCAGUUUCAAUCAGAAAAUGCAGCAUAUAUUGAUACAAAAUAGAAAACUUGAAAUAUAAAAGUAAGGAGUCUACCUUUAACUUUCUUGGCAUUUUUUUAAACCUGUCCCAUUUCAUUACAAUUUCUGCAGGUUUUACUGAAAUACUCAUUCUUGACAUUUAGCUUCUUUAGUGGUCUGGUAGGUAUACAAAAGUAUUACCUGCUUAGGUAAGAAAGCGGAUGUUUAUGUCAAAGAGCCUUAAAAUAUUGUAAUUUAUGUUUAUUUGCAAUGAAAGAAGUCUACUUGGUAAAAAUAAAGAGGGAGAAAAGGAUUCUUUUAUUUACAAGAAUUUUGUAAUAUCAAUCAGGAUAAGAAUUGGUUAAAUCAUGUUUGGUAGGAGGAUAGACAGCAAAUUGGUAACUGGAGAUCUAAAAACACAAGGUAUAAGACGCUUAACGUGUAACAUAUUUGGUGAGUUUAGCAUAACGGAUUUUGAGAGGCAACAGAAGGUAUGUAUUUCUUUCUGUAUAUACAUAGCACCUGCUUUUGAAAGCCCCAGCUAUUUAGUACAGGAUGCUAUGAAUUAAAAAGCAGGAGACUGGUGUGGAAAGUUCAGCUAAUUUUCUGAUUCAAUCAAGUUUUAGGUGAGGCGGUAGCCAAAGAGGUGUCCCAUUGCUGGCAGGAUAGUAAUUUCCUAAGUUUUAGUCUCAUGAGUCCUGCUUUCUCAAACCUCUUGAAUCACUGUAGGAUUAGGCCCCUUGAGUAAAGUCAAGAGGAGCAAAAUAAUGAUUCAGAGAUGAUAGAUAGGUUUUCAAGCAAGCCACCCUCAACCCAGAUGCCUUUCUUUCAAAAGCAAUUUUAUUUGUAUUAAACAAUAUUAAACUUCCCAAUUUUCAUGUCUGUUAACCUUUUAAAUGACAUGACCUUUCACAUUAGCCAUCAGGCUCCCAUCAUGAUGGCACCGCAUGCUGCAUGGUGGGUAAACAGGAAAAAGCUUAUUUUAAAAUGUCAAAAAGUUUUUGGUCCUUGUAAACAUUUAAGUCAUUUGGAAUUUUCAAAACUGUUGUGAAAUCUUGGCUUUGUAUAAUGCCACAUGGUAGUUUUGGUUUGUUUGUUUGGUUUGUUUUUUCCUUUAUUUAGGCAGGGUCUCACUCUGUCACCCAGGCUGGAGUGCAGUGGUACGAUCUCAGCUCACUGCAGCCUCGACCCCCCGGGCUCAAGUGAUCCACCCACCUCAGCCUUCCGAGUAGCUGGGACAACAGGCACGUGCCACCAUGCCUGGCUAAUUUUUGUAUUUUAAGUAGAGGUGGGUUUUCACCAUGUUGUCCUGGCUGGUCUUGAGCAAUCAGCCCACCUCAGACUCCCAAAAUGCUGGGAUUACAGGUGUGAACCACUGUGCUUGGCUCACGUGGUAGUUUUUAUCAAGAAAGAGAGUUAUUGACUUUCCUUGAGAUAAGGAGUUGAGCAACACAAGUCAAUAAAUAUUUGUGUAUAUAAUGAACAUUCCCUUCUUGGAAGAGUACUGGAUGUUCUGAAUAUGAAAGAACACUUGGAUAUAUAAUUGUUUUCCAUGACACUGAAGUUAAGUUAGAAUAAUCAAAGGACUUCCCUAAAAUUGUCUCAGGGGCAUUGUUGUAAAAUUUCAAGCUUUAUCCAGUGAGUAUUUUAAAAAGAUGUAAGAAACAGAUCAACAAUGAGUUAAUUAGCUUAAAAAAAGAAAAAGCAGAUACACUUCAAUUCAGUUUAUUUGGGGAGUAUUAGGUAGAAAAAUAUGUUAUCUAGUAAACUGGGAUGGUUGAUUGCCACUCUGAGGUAAGGCUUGCAAAUUAUACAUUUCUUGUAUGCAAAUUAGUAAAUUAUUUAACAGGACAAUUGGAAAGUUAAUAAUUUAAAAAGGGGGCAGAGGCAGAAAAUGCAUUUCCUUGUACAUCUAUUAUAUUGUAUGCACUCUUGAGAAGCAGUGGUGAAUGUCAAGAACUGUCCAUUCCUCUUAUAUAGUUCUAAAUCUUCUAUUUGUAUCUUGGCAGAAAUAGGAUUUGUUGUGCAGUACCUUCUGGGAGUAUUAGGAUUCACAUGGGAAUGUUCCAUCAAUAAUACAGUGUUGCCCCAGCUUCAAGAAUAAAUACCCUGUAGAACCUAGAUUUAAAAGGCCAUUAAUAAGGCAAACAAUGAUAAACAGUGGGGGAAAAACCAUAAAAGAAAACUUUCCUUUUUCCAUAAAGGAAAAGCAGCAGUGAUUAGGAGGGAAUAUUCAAUUCUUCUAGAACUGGUAGAAUCUAUACUGGUGGUAUUAUCAGGAUUUAGUCUGUUUAGAAAAUCCCAGUAGAAAAAAAUCUCAAUGACUACUUUGCAAGACACAAACCUGGGUUCAACUAUACAUUCGACUGCAUUUUUUAUUCUUUGAGAGGUUGUAGAUAUAGACUCUAUAGGACUAAAAUAACUUAAGAGAGGAUGUCAUCUGUCUCACAAGGUAUUAUCUAUAAUCCUGAAAUAUUGCCUGUUAUGAAGAAGUGUUUCUCUUUUGCUGCAUUUCUCAUUGUAAGUCAUCUAAUCAGCAUUUAUAGACCCUGCCAUGGACAGAACAAUAGAUGCUUUCGACAAUACAAAAUAAUUAGAAAAUGUGGUGUUUGCUCUUAAGGACCUCACAAAGGGAGGCAAAAUAUCUCUUUGCAAAACUAGAAAUGUGCAAAUAAACUGUCAUAAUUAUUGAAUAAAGUGACCACAAGAAUUGAGGGAGUGUUAACAGGAGAGUGAAGAGAAUGAGUCAGGGUGCUCAUGGACAGCAUUUUGGAUGAUGUUGUCCUGAUUCAUAAACCACGACUGAGAUGGGGCUAGGAAAAAGAAUAUCUAAUCAGCGGAAAUAAAAUGUAAAACUUCAAGCACAGCAGUGAGAACAUUUUGGGAUGAUGUGUGGAUGGAUGUUGGAGUGGAAGGAUAAAGAAGACCUGAGGAUUAGCUUGCUUGCAGCUAAUUAAGGAACUCAUGGAGAAAUAAGCAUCCUCUACCAAACUGAAAGCUGCUGACUAGUUUGAGAUCUACUUCAUUCCAUGAAUCAACAGGACACCCAAAUUACAAGGUCAGUAUUGCAUUUUAAAAUAAUUAUGUGUAAUUCAUAGCAAAACAUCACCAAAAGAGGAAACAUGAGAAAUGUCAUAAUUUGUAUCAAGUGCUUGAUUUAUGUAUAUUUUACAUUUACUAUUAUCUUGUUACUUUGAUAUUUCAAAUAUUAUCUAUUUUCUUGGUUCCAGAACCUAGCAUGAAUUAGUUCCGUGAUGUCAGAAAACAACUUCUUAAAAGUUUGAACUUGGAUUUGUUGAAGAAGUUUAAGACUAUGAGCUCAUAAAGGACAGAUUUUGUUUUAUUUACUUUAUUAAGUAUCGCAUUCUUAAUAGUAUAACGUUUGCUUAGCUGUAUAACAUAUUUUGUGUUAAUGAUGGUGAUGAUUAAGUGAUAACUGCGAAAAGCAAGAAGUGAAAAAGAAGUCAGAAUCUAGUGUAGAUAGUUGUUCUGCAAUACUAAUAUUAUACAUUUGUAUAGUGUUGUACAUUUUUAAAUAAUUACAGUUAUAAAUUAUCCUACAUGGCUGUCAUAACAGCCUGAAAAUGAUAAGAAGUGUAUAUUAUUCUCAUUUUAUAACUGGGUAAACAGAAAAUCUGAGAUUAGUUAUUUUGUUUUAGGCCACCCAGUGAGGGUCAAAAGAGCACAGAAAUGUUACACAAUAGCAUUUAAAAUAAGCAAUGAGAUGAAAAGGUAAAAUCGAAAAUUUGAUAGAGGCUCUUAAAAAUAAAGUCAGAAAGUAUGGAAUAGAUAGUAAAGACAAAGGAAAACUUCCAAAGGGAAUGGGAGGUAGCAAAAUGAAAUGAAGGAAAAAAUAGUUUCGCAUUCAUUUGCCAAUCAGAUUAUUCUAGAUGUAUAUUCCCGGAUUUGACUAUUCAACUUUUAGAAGAACAGAUAAAGCAGGAGGUCAGGACCGCCAGACAAAAAAUUAAAGUGGUUCAGAUCAGUAAUAAAUUCUAGUGUGCUGGGCUGAUAUAAAAUGCUAUAAUGAGUGGUCUUUCUUAUUUCUUUAAAAAAAUCUUUAAAUUUCACCUGAUAUAACUCUAGCUAAUGUGCUUCACAGAAAUGAAUGAGUCACUUACAAAUUCACCAGUUGCAUUUCUGCUUCUACUCCUUGUUUUACAUUUUUAUACAAAAAGUGUUAGUAAAUGAAUGCCAUUUUAAAUUACAUGUUUUAAAAUAUCUCAAGUUUUACAGUCCAAAGAAUAGCUUAAACAAGCACCUUUAUAUACUAACAUCUCUAAUAUCUCUAAUUAAAAUAGUAUUAGCUUUGAGGAUAGCAGAGUAAAGAAAACCACAAUUCAUAAACUUACUAGUUAUUAUUCUCUGCUGUGGACAUCAUCCACUGUUUUUUUCUUAAGUGUAGCAUAUAGACAUAACAAUACUCGUGUUCAAGUAAUAUAUGCAGAUACAUACGUGUGAUACUAUUAUUUGUUUGCUUUCUUUAAUCUUAGGUUGUUCAAAGAUUGAUAAAGUGCUACAAACACUUGACUUUGUGAGCUUUAUGUAUUCAGUCAUUACAAGUAAGCUGUAGUGAUGGCAAUUAGUAUAGCUGUGAACAGGUAUGCUGAUCAUCUAGUCCAGCUUAAUAGUCUCCGAAAUGAAGAGAUGAAAUAUGUUAGCUUAGCCAGAAAUGUUAUGUGUGUGAGUGUAUGUGUGUGAGAGAGAAUUUGCCCCAGAAAGAAAUAACUGAAAUGGCUGUAGGAUCAAAUAGUGACACAGACUUGCACAUCCCCAGAUUCACCAGACAGACCUUACACAUCCUAACCUUCCAAGGAAUGCUUUAAAGUCUCAAACAUAGCCCAUCAGCUUUCAGCAAUUAAUUAACCAUGGCAGGAUUAGUUCUAAAUUUUGUUCCUCCAAGAAGGAAAUCAUUUUUAUUCUGUCUUGACCACAGAUUAUUAAUAUAGCUGAUGAAUUAUCUGUGCCUUAUUCAAGUGUAAUAAGCUCCAUUUAAAGGAGACUCGGCUUCAUACGAUUUAAUUUUAGUUAGUAUCCAAAGGAUAGUAUUUCUCGGCAAUUGACAGCUUGUUGUUAGUCACAUGGUUUAGCUUUCUCCAAAUUCAUUUGAAAAUAGUGCAUUGUGUAUGUUCUUCACUGUUAAAAGCAGGGAUUAAAGAGGAAGUCAUCCCAAAGUUAGUAAAAAUUAGCGUAAUGAGAAUUUAAAAAUAUAUUCCAUGAGACACUUAAGUAGUGCUAGAUAUAGUCCAAGAUUUUUGUUUGUUUGUUUUGGUAAAAUGCUAAAAAGACAGUACAUUGUAGAAUAUUCAUUGUAGACAUGCUUACAUUUAGAUGUCUUAUAUUCAGGGACUCUUAUGAUGAUCUAAUUCUUUGGCUUGCUAUAAGAGAGCCCUUCCCUCUAAUUCCUGAUAUUGGUUAUUUGUUUGAAAAUAAAACCUGUUAGUUCUCUGCAGUGCUGAGAAUGUAUUACCUAGUGCAACUCUGGCUGCAGAUGCAUCAUAGUUGAUCCAAAAAGACACCCAGGACAGAAUUGUAAUCAGUGUAGAAGGCAUGUAGGUUUGCAAAAUGAAGUAACCAAUGUUUCUCUUUAGACGAAAA
Molecule: non-coding RNA, 10222 nt
Organism: Chlorocebus sabaeus (green monkey)
Lineage: Eukaryota; Metazoa; Chordata; Mammalia; Primates; Cercopithecidae
Source: RefSeq, a predicted model, not a curated record